CCUACGGGAGGCUGCAGUGGGGAAUAUUGGACAAUGGGCGAAAGCCUGAUCCAGCCAUGCCGCGUGUGUGAAGAAGGCCUUCGGGUUGUAAAGCACUUUCAGUGGGGAAGAAAGCCUUGGGGCUAAUACCCUCGAGGAAGGACAUCACCCACAGAAGAAGCACCGGCUAACUCCGUGCCAGCAGCCGCGGUAAUACGGAGGGUGCGAGCGUUAAUCGGAAUUACUGGGCGUAAAGCGCGCGUAGGCGGUCUGAUAAGCCGGUUGUGAAAGCCCCGGGCUCAACCUGGGAACGGCAUCCGGAACGGUCAGGCUAGAGUGCAGGAGAGGAAGGUAGAAUUCCCGGUGUAGCGGUGAAAUGCGUAGAGAUCGGGAGGAAUACCAGUGGCGAAGGCGGCCUUCUGGACUGACACUGACGCUGAGGUGCGAAAGCGUGGGUAGCGAACAGGAUUAGAUACCCUAGUAGUC
RNAcentral lists this ribosomal RNA (465 nucleotides) under Vreelandella stevensii. RNAcentral describes it as "partial 16S ribosomal RNA". It matches the Rfam family "Bacterial small subunit ribosomal RNA", at positions 338 to 795 of the family's 1533-position model. The record is from RNAcentral. Lineage: Bacteria; Pseudomonadati; Pseudomonadota; Gammaproteobacteria; Oceanospirillales; Halomonadaceae.